This 427-nucleotide ribosomal RNA is filed under the name uncultured bacterium. RNAcentral describes it as "bacterial SSU rRNA". It matches the Rfam family "Bacterial small subunit ribosomal RNA", at positions 355 to 774 of the family's 1533-position model. The record is from RNAcentral.
UGGGGAAUUUUGGACAAUGGGCGCAAGCCUGAUCCAGCCAUGCCGCGUGCGGGAAGAAGGCCUUCGGGUUGUAAACCGCCUUUGUCCGGGAAGAAAUCCUUUGCGCUAAUACCUCGGGGGGAUGACGGUACCUGAAGAAUAAGCACCGGCUAACUACGUGCCAGCAGCCGCGGUAAUACGUAGGGUGCAAGCGCUAAUCGGAAUUACUGGGCGUAAAGCGUGCGCAGGCGGUUAUAUAAGACAGUUGUGAAAUCCCCGGGCUCAACCUGGGAACUGCAGUUGUAACUGUAUAGCUAGAGUACAGUAGAGGGGGGUGGAAUUCCGCGUGUAGCAGUGAAAUGCGUAGAUAUGCGGAAGAACACCGAUGGCGAAGGCAAUCCCCUGGACCUGUACUGACGCUCAUGCACGAAAGCGUGGGGAGCAAACA